CAAAGUUUUGGCACAAGUUGCGGGUUUGGCCGCGCCGUGCCCGCGGCGGGCGGCGGCCCCUGUCAGGCACGGGCGUCCCUCAGGGCGGCCCGCGCGCCGCCGCCUUCCCGCCUCCCCCUCACCUCAGGCCGGGCGUUCACCCCGCGUUCAUUGCUCCGUCUCCCCCCGCCGCCAAUCUCCAUGGAAAAUACCUGUUGAUAAUUCCAAAAUAUUUUUUUUUCCUCGCCCACCACCCCUAGAUGCCGCCAAAAAAAAAAAAAAAAGUCCUUUUUUAAUUUCUUCUUUUUUUUUUUUCAAACCGCUGGUUCUCUCCACUUGAGAGUGGAAGACUAACGUGGAUUGCAGUUUCUGAGGGACUAAAAAAAUAUGAAUCUCGUUGACAAUUGACACAUUUUCUGCUUGCAAGCAGCAGUAAAACUUCCCCACCAAAAUGCGAAAUUAAAAAAAAAAUCAGGUUAAAUGAUGAAGCUUUCCAGCAUGCAUCUGCCAUCAGAACUCAUCCUUUUCACUGCAAGAUAUUCAGGUUUGCUCCUUCUGUCAAUUAAUAUCAAAUACACUCGAAAAUUGUUCAGUUACUCUAGAUUUAUCCCAACAAAACUGCUUGGGAUCUGGACAAUCUCUCCUUAGGUGCACAGCUCAGCCUGAGACCCACCAGAUCAGACCCCCAGGUAUAAUUUACCAGCAGCCACUCUGAGAUCUGGUAGUUUUAUUGCAUGUCCUACUCAGUGUCUGUCCAUGGGCUCAUCCUGCUCUUUAUGCCGGUGACAGCAAACACGGAGAGCCUGAUCCUGCUUCUUCAGGAAUGUGGAAAUCAGGGGACAUUCCUUGUCAGUGACACUGAUCCAGGCCCAGAGUGGACGGUCCUGGAGAGGAACGCAGGUAACACCUCCAUCACGGAGACACAAAGCAAUCAGAUGGUUUCCUCUGCAUAAAGGAGAAUUAAGGGAGAAUGGGAAAAAAGGAGCAGCCUUUGAGCCCCCAGCUCAUGCCCUACUGACUGUACACUGCAUGAAAGAAACAUCUGAAAAUUCGGACUGGUACUAGAUGAAACACUCUUGUAUUUUAUUUCCAGACCAAGUGCUCAACUCCAGCGAUCCUGGCGAAUUCCAGACUGGCACUGACUGUCCUUACAACUGAUCCAUGCUCGGGUCUGUUAGAGAGGGGUCCUGAGAGCCCCAGGUGCAGAAUUACAUGCUCAGUGACAGCAGUUUCACACUGGUGCUUGUGAUUACAACUGUGUCAUUCUUCUUAGAGUCCUGAAAGACUGCACUGGUAAACCUUCACCGUGUGAGUGAGAACUCAGCAAAACCUAGAGCUUCACUUCCAGAUUUGUAAAUAACAGCCUUUCUGUUGAGUCCUGGAAGGCCAGCGGAGUCCUGCACACCGCUCUGGGAUUUUCCAUCCUGUGCUUGUUUACAGUCACACCAAAUGAGUGCGAAACGGGAGCAUUCCGAGCUUGCCGUGUUUUUCACAGCUUUACACCAACUCUGCAGAACUGUGCUCAGAGCAACACUGUGAGGAGCAAGAACCCCUGUGUUCCACUUAGGUUUUAUAAUGACAGCUUCACAAUUUUCAGUAUUCCAAUGGGGAGGCAGGGGAUACGGCAGAAGUCCUGUAAAGAUUAUUCUUCCUUCAGCACAAGGCGCUGCGAGCUUUGGAGCAAACUGUGAGGGCCAGGCUGGAUGAGAUGGCCAGGCUUGUAGGGCAGCAUCAUUUGGUGUGUAAGCAGGAACCCAGCAGUGUCAGAUCUGGGUAUCUGAUGUUUGCCCUGCAGUUUUCUGGGCACAGGUAGCAGUGGUGGCACAAGACACAAGACUCUGGUAAAGAACAAACUUACUGCUUGCCUUCGGACUCUAUUUAAGCUUCAGAUGACUUUACUCUUGGUUUUUUGGGACUCACUGCAGGGUAGGAAAUACCUGCAAGUUCUUCCCAUCUGCCAUGUGCUCUGAGGGUUCACUGCAGUUCUGAACCAGGUGUGGCCACAAGAACAAAACCACCGUUGUGCUGAGGCCCUGUUGAGCACGGUGACCACAGAGCCGAGCUCCCUUGGAGGGGCUGCCUGUGGUUUCAACCUGUUUAAUGUCCCAGGCUGGGCUGCACUGCUGGAGUUGUGCUCUGCAAACUGUGCCUCGAGUGUGGCAGCUGCAGCUCCCAGGCAGGGUGCAGCAAGCUGCAGGUCCCUGCUCUGCAGCCUGACGGCUCAGUUGUGUUCACUGCCAGCAGAAGCAGCUCCUCAUCCCCAAGUGGCCCAGUCACAGAGCAGGAAAUACAGCAGAGCCGUUUUCACACCGGUGACAUUUGCAAGCCUUCUGCACACUAAGACCUAACUUUAAAAGAAAUGUGUGAGCUGCUGUUUUCCAGUAAGGCAGGAUGGACAGGAAGACAUGUCUGUCUCUGCAGCCACUACAAGAAGCUCUGGUGAUGUAUUUUCCAGUUUGCCAGGCAAACAAGCACCAGGCACCAAUAUCAAAACCAGCCCAGAUUCCAAUGAAAACCAGCAAAGAAAUACUACAGUAGGAAUGAAAUCGCUUCAUUUUUCUUGGGCUUCUCUGCAUCAUCUUUCCAGACAAACGAGUGCUCCACCCUGCCCGAUUCCUUCAGUUUGCCUGAGAGGACUCUCCCUUCUUGCCCUCUGGGCUGGACUCCUGCUUUCCUCCCACUCCUGAGCCCUUGAAGGCUGUGCCAAUGAGUGAGCUGGCACUGCCGGGCUGCGGCACAGCCCCGCCUCUGCGGUGGGCCCGGGGCAGGGAAUACCCCACCCUUUGGCAGGGGCAGAGGAGGCCCCGGACUUGCUUUCAUCCCUGCCCUGUCUGGGAAAGCUCCUGAACCUGCUCUGCGUCUGGCAGUGCAGGAAUCCCCGGCAGCAAAGCCGAGGGUUGGCUCGCCUGGAGUGAUUCCUGCAGGCAGGCUGGUGUCCAACACCCCUUGUCCGUGUGAAAUAAUCAUCCACGUGGCACCUGUGAGAGCUGCAGGCUCAAAGCACAGCUUGAAGGGACACUCUGGGGUCAAGCCCCACAUCUGAGUGCAAAGCAAGUGCCACCUGACCAGUGUCACAUGCCUGAAACAAAUAAUCAGAAGCACAAACGCCUCUGUCCCUCUGAUCCUCCUCGUAACACCAACCGUGCAGCCUGGUGGGAGCAUCCCUCAUUGUUUUGUUACUGGUCAUUUGAGCAAAGGAAGCGGAGGAGAGAGUGGAAGCAAAGCCCAGGGCUGGAAAAUGGAAAUGACUGUGAGGAAAGGAAUGUGGAGCUUCAAAACGACUCAGAGUUGGCAGGGGAGAGGAGAGCAGGGUGAAGGGGGAAGGAGGAGCAGCAGGAGGUAAAUCACAGUGACAGGACAGCACAGUCCCUGGAGCGCCGCGUGUGGCACGGGCGGCCCCUCGGUGUCUCUGCUGGUGCCACACAGCCCUCGGCUGGCACUGCCCGACACUUCCUUCCCUCGCCAGCCCAGAGCCCAGACACAGCUUGUGCCAGGGUGAGUCCAACACGUCUGCUGAGCUCUGCCCCAGGACACUGCUCAGAGCAGAAGGGAGAGCCAUGAAAUAUCUUGCCAAGCUGGUGUCUGUGUAUGAGAACCAUUGGUGUGAAGCCUCUGUGCCCAGACCUGUGAGAAUGUGGGUGCAGAGUCUUCCAGUGCCAGCUCCCUCUCCCAGUGGAGGCAGUGGGACAGAGUGAUGCUAAACACAAAAUAUUUUUAGUGAGCCAAACAAUCAAACUCUGCCUAAACCUCUACCUGAAGAGCGACAGCAGCCCCCUGCCCUAGCACACUGCCUAAAACCCCUUCUUUCCUCUACAAAAGCAAAAAAAGGGAGGCCCUGGGGUCCCCGCAGCUCUCUGGGAGGGGACACGCUGUGGGUCCUCCCCACGCAGCCGAGGCAGCUGCCCCGGCAGAUGCUGCAGCCUGGCAGCCGCUCGCACAGAAGGGAGGGACAAGCCCGGAUGUGAAGGAUUUACAGCCCUGGCAGACACCGGUGACAGGCGAUGGCUCGGUCGGGAAUUUAAACAGUGCAGCGAGAGGCCGAGCCCUGCCAGCGAUCAAACACCGCGGAGAGCCCAGGGCAGAGCCCGAGGCCCCAAAGGGGCUGCAGGAGGCCGGGCCGGGCCGUGGCAGCGUCUGCAGGAGCCCGUGGGGCUGGGAUGGGCUUUUCUCUUGACACAGGGAGGGGAGGAAAGCAGCGCUGUGCCCAAGCCCUCCCCGGGGAGCAGCCAAGGCCGGGGGAUGUGUGUGCUCAGCAGCCUGAGCGGGGGCAGCAGAACCGGGGGGAGCCCUAAAGCAGGAGCUGCCCCCGGGAAGGUCCCGAUCCCAGAGCUCUGCCCUGCCCCAAAGCCCAGGCUUCCCACACGGAGAGGAAACGCUGGGAAUUGUGCACACCAGCUGCAGGCUCAGAUCCUCACUCUCUAUUGCUCCCAUCCACGUUUGCAUUCCCUCCAAGCAACUUCAGGGGAGACCUUACCCAGGAGGGAUUCAAUCACACCCUGGUUUACGAUUUAACUCUGGCUCUGCUUCAUGCCCUGCAAUUCUCUGUGCAUUUAGCAGACAAAGUCACUUCUUCCACUUUAUAAACGUGGAAGGAACGUUCAAACCAGAGCUGGACUUCCAAAGAAGAAGCCGCCAGCUCCCGAGCUGCCUCGCUGGCAUUUUUAAGGUGUAUUAUUUACAUGCUGGAAAGGAGCCAACCAAAACCUCUCUUAAGAAAAUUUUCCCUUACUUACAGAACAAAGUCUACUGCUUCGUGAAAAAUGAAUAAUUAAAUUCUGAGGUUUGGGCAUCUUCAUUUAUUGCUGAGAUCUUGGCAUCAUCACUUUUCCAUAUUUGGGGAAAAUGAGAAUAAAAGUCAAUGUUAAGUGAUGUACUAAACUAAGAUUAGUCUGUUUACCCCAGAGUAACUCUUUGGAUAAAGGAAAACUAUUUUCAUACUUCGCAUAAAAUAUGAAGUUGAUACUUUCCAAUCUUGAUACAGAUUUUAUAAACCCUCCUCUCUUUUUUAAGCCCAACACAAUUAGCACUUUGAGAAUGUUGUGAAUCUGCUCUUAACUACCAAUAAAAACAGUUUAAUUAACCAGUGACAUUAACCAGGUUAAGUGCCAGGAUUCAAGUGGAUUGAAAGAAAAGCUGUUUGGAUCACUAGAACAGGAUUUUUGCCACUCUGAGGGAUCCUAAAAUGGUGUGACAAUGAGUGUGUUUAAUGGAUGUAGAUGUGCUGCUGAAAGGCACUCCUGCAACUCGGUGGGCAAGUCCCAGAGCAGAAAAUUAAAAGGGGAAAGAAAAAAAAAUCAGUUUAUUUAACAAUUUUUUUACCAAAACAGAAAGAGCUGAGUAGAGAGUCCACCAUGUUUCAGUUUGUCAUUUUGGGGGGUAUAAAUCUCUCUAAGCACUGCUGAUGUUUUACUGCCAGGCACUCCAAGUCCUGCUGCUCUGGGGACAUUUGGUGCAGACGGGGCACAGCACAACCCCUGGCUGCAGGAUGGAGGAUUUCAGCUUGGCAAAGGUUCCCAUCAGAGCAGGCAAUAAAAACACCUCACACAACUCAGCUGAAAUCCUUUGUGGCUUUGGGAUUCUGUCACCUGAAUCCAAAGGUGGAGACUGAACAAGUAAUAACAGCAAAGCCCUGUUCCAAAAAAUCAGUGUAUCCUUUGUGCAGAGGCAGAUUCCCAGUGAGUUAUUGCAGGGCUGGGGUACAGGGAAGGUGCCGAGGCACUGAACACCCACCUCCAAUACAACUCAAUAUGUCAAUGACUGAAAAAUAAAUCAAAUUACUUGGCAAAUAAAAAUGUGAUUCUGUGACUGCAAGAAAGCUGGCAUUUUCCUGGUUAUCCAAGGCUUCUCCAAGCCAGGAAGAAGAGACAUAAAUAUGUAUGGCAUCAGAAAUGGCAGCAGAAAUGUCUCUCUAUCUUUCCCAGUACAAAUUAAGUGUAAGAAAAUUACUCCUCCACAGAGGUCCCACACUAAAAUGAUGCCCUAAGCACAGCUAAGUUCAGAGACACCAACCAAAGUCAGCUCUCACAAAAUAAAAUGUAACACACCUUGGUUCAGGUAUUGACACUGCUUAAAUCUGAAUACACGUCUGUGUUUUGGUUGAGCUGCCUGUUUUUAAGUGCACCAAAUGCUUUACUUUGAGUUUCCACACAGACAUCUCAGCAUCCUUCACACUCAGGCUGCCAGGAUCACAGAAUCCUGGAUAUUGGUUCAGGACACUGCAGGCAAAAAAUUUCUGUCAAGAGUUUUGGCCUCAACCCUGUCCAGUUCCUAUUGAAUCUUAGUGGUGCCUCAAACCUCUUUAAAUCAGAAAUCGUUUUGGGCCAAUAAAGAAAUAGCAAAGCAAAGCAGAUCCAGGAAGUUCUCUCCAGGUUUUUACAUCUCCCUCUCCUCAGCACAAGCUUUUAGGGGCAACCUGCCUGCAGCUGUUUAAGUGGGGCUGAGAAACAGCACAUCCCAGCCUUUUCUUCUGUUUUUCUCCUCAAGAAGAGUCACUGCUUUUCAAACUCUUUUCCAACAACCGGAGCAGCUCCUGGGGCCAGCACUGCCAUUCUAGAGCCCUUUCAAGACAGUUCACAUUUAAUGUAAAAGCAGUAAUAGACUUUGACAUGUUAGAACUAAAUUCUAGAACUCUGAUUUUUGGAGCUCCCUGAAUGCACGGAGAUACCAAUGACUGGAAGAAAAUACAGAUGUUUUAGGAUUAAAGCUCAAGUUCUGAAAUACUGAAAAGACUGAAGGAAACAAUCUGCAUGAAAACUCAAACAUUUGUUUCUGUGAUGCAGGCACUAAGAAGUGAACAUGCAUCCCUGGAACACACUGGGUCCAUUUCUCUCAAGGGAAUGCAUUUUACACUAAAAAUACAGAAUAAACCCACAGAGCAUCAAAAGGAUCAUGAGAGACAGACAACAGAGUUUUGAAAAAAAAAAAAGAUGACAACACAUGACAUCUACAAUGUACACACACACCCUGGAAGGUUUAUAUAUGCUCUAUAUAUAUUUCAAAGUACACACAAGCUGCCCAUGUGGCAGGUUGAGAAAAUAGGAAUACAUCUUGGGAAGGUCAUGGAGGAAAAAAACCACAGAGGAAAACAGGAGUUAUUUACAUUCAAUAAUUCAGUAGCCUUUAACACCUCUAUAUACAAACAGGCUCUAUUUAUGUACAGACUGCGCCGGGAGCCGAGUGAAGUUAUUCCAAACACAAAAGAAAAAUACAAAACCCCUUGAUAAUUCACUUGAACAAGCGUUUACAGGUUGCAGAGAUUUCUCCAUUUACAAAGAAAAUACUACACAUGGAACAGAGAACUCGCAGCUUUGGGGAACCUUACAAGAGGUGUGUGUUCCCAACACACAGCCACUGGAAAAAGAGGAAUACUUGCACUGCAAGGAGGUUUAGAGGGGGUUAUAAUUGCAUUUAUCAUGCCAGACAUAUCUUAAUUAUGAAACUAGUUAACAAGACAUAAUUUAGUGGCUGUCAAGGGACAGUUAGAAAAGAAAACCCAAAAUGUGGGUUGUCAGUUCCCACAUCAACUCAAAUAUGUACCUAUAGCACAACUCCAAAAUCCACGCAGUACUGCAUGUUACAGGUGGCAUUACCCAUUCCCAGAGCCUUCUGUCCUUUCUAGGUUUUAUACCCAUUUCAGAUGUACAAAGCGUUUUGUAUUUCAUUUUUUACAAAGCAGAUCAAUACCCUACAAGCAGGAAAAUUCAGAGACCAGCCUUGCCUGGCAAUUUAUGAUGUAAUAAUUGGUCUUUUUUCCUCCCCAGGAGGAUGUUUGUCUCAUGGGCAGUGCUGCAAAGGGACACUGUUCUUACCCCAUUCCAGGGCAAUUUAUAUUCCCUUUUUCCCCAAGCUUUAUCAGCAGCUCAUGCAGGGAACAAAUACCAAAAUCCACACCCCAAGCACCAAGUAGGGAUUUUCAAGAGAGAAAAAUGUUGCUGUGGCUUGGAGGCUGCUUUAUCUUUUUUGAUGUUAACUUUCAAGAUGUCACAACAGUCCAGAGCCGUGGCUGCAGCUGUGUUAGUAAGUGGAUACAAAGCCAAGGCAGUGACGGUGCAAGGAGCAGGCAAAGAAGAGCAAGUAGAGGAAUGGAUUUCUGGAACAGGAACAGUUCCUAUGGAUAUUGGAAGCACUGCCAGCUUUUUUCCCCUCCAGGGAACACAAGUCCAUGGGAACUUUUAAAAGGUUGAAGCAAAACAGUGUGGUUUGCUCAUCAAUACAGGGACUAUCAGAUUUGCUCAUCCCAACAGUCAAAGUGAGCACACCAGGCUGAGAAGAGCACUUAGGAACUGAGUGUACUUAAAUCAUUAAUUAAAAAAAAAUUCAAAAUCACUAAUUGUGAAUCUACCGCUUCCAGAAGUAUUUUACUGAGAAUCAAGACCUAAAAUGCUAUGUCACCAUCUCAGAUGGCAGAAGGUUCUCCAGCAAACAACAAUUAAGCAGAGAGACAGGGCAGUCCACACACAGCCUGUGUGUUUGGUUGGCUGCCUGCUGCAGGACUGAUCUGUCAACACCCUCCUCAAAAUCCCAGCCCUGCUCCUGCAGUGGGUGCCAAACACAGCCCCUGGUGGGUUCAGAGCACAGAACAGCCUCCCCCUCACUCUGUGCUCCAGAGCUCAGGGCAUGGUCAGCUCCCAGCGCUGUGGCAGCGCUCAGGUCCCUGCCCUGCACACUGAGGAUCCUUCACACCCAGCACCUGCGCUCCAGGCACUGAGACAGGGGCAGCAGGCGUGGAUUUAUUCCAGAUCUGCAUUUCCAGUUAUCCCAGGCACGAGCAGGGGAUUCACCCCUCCUGAGCACUGCAGGCUGGGGCUGAGGGAAGCGGGCAAACCUUCCCUGCCAGGCAGGGCUCGGUGAGCACCCCCAGCUGCUGCUGGCACAGGGAGCGUUAGCGCAGCCCCAGAGCAGCAAUUCCAUGUGGAAAUUCAUAAGGAAUUCCAUAAGGAAAUUCAACCUCGCCUGCAACUGCAGCCCUGCUCUCCCUGACCCUGCAGCCACCCUGCUCUGGAACUGAGCCUUCCUUAAGCACACACGGAGCUGCAGACAGAGUUUAGUUCUUGCCUCGUUAGCGAGUUGAGCUGAGAGGUUCGGGCUGCAAGACAGAAGCCUGGUUAGAGCAGCCUGGAACAUGCCAAGUCCUGUCCAAUUCCAAUUGUACAGACUUGUUAGUUUUUUUGGAAUAUGGUGAUUGCCUAAACAAGACUCCACUUCUUGUUAGUACAAUAACUUUUAUUUGACAUCUACAAGAUCAUUAUCUUGUAGUUUUUUGGACAGGUUUAUACAAUCUCAAUUUUUCAAUAGUGCAACCUGUGCAAGCAAGAAAUGACAAACAUUGUCCUUCACUUUCUUAUAAACAUCUACUAUUAUAGGCAAAACAAAACUUACCCAUAUUAUAGAUAAGUGACUAUUCACAUUUGUACAUUACAAUUUCUUUUAAACAGCUCCAGAUAAACUCUACAAUGUCUUACAACAUAUUAAACAUAACAGAAACAGCACAUACAGCGGAACCCUCAAGUGUUUCCCAUUCUCUAAUUUACAGCUCAAGUAAGGUUUCAUCUUACAAGUGACAAAUUAAAUUACGUUAAUGAAGUAAAAAAUAUAAGAUUGUAUGCGAGAUGGAAGUGAAUUUGCACUUAAGUUUCCAUAACCACCUCAGAUUAAGGAAAUGCUUCAAUUUAAGGAAAACAGGCAUCCAGCCAUCUUUGCAGUACACAUUAGGAAUACCAUUAAUACAUUAAAAAUGAACUAAUUUUAAUUUAAGAUGUUUAUCACAAAAAGAACAUGUUGUAGACUCAAAUAUAUAACUCCCAGGAGAGAACCAGAAAAAAUGCAACACCUGGGUAUAAACACUAUAAAAAUGCAAUAACCAAUGCUGUACAACUAAGAUUGUGUUUCUGAAUUCCUGCCUCGUGUGUUUAUGCUGUCCAUGCCCGUUUCCAAAGACAUGCACUGUCAAACAGAAACUGGGAAGGAACCUGAAUGCAUGAUGUGCAACCUCUAGGUUUCAUGCUUUUAUAAACUCAAAUCGAAGAGAAAAACCCAAUAUAUAUUUUCUAUAUAUAUACUCAAUACAUGCAUUCGAGAUCUCCCACAGCAAUGGCAUCGAUGCACUGCGUUAAACCCUGAGCACUGUAUGACAAGAUAAAAAUAAAGCCUGCCUGGGGAUUUUCAAGCAUUUUCAAACAAAUUGUGGUUUGUAGCUUAAAAGGCCAAAAGUAAAAGCAAACAGGAAGCACUACAGAGAGCAUAAGGAAAGACAGAUGCACCACCAUAAACAGCUGCUGGCUUUCAGUUCUACCAACCUUUUUAGAUCUCUUUAUUCCCAAAGUAUUCGAGACACAACUGAACUGAAAAAGUUAUAUUUCUUUGGAAUCUGUCCCUGAUUUUUAUGCAAGUGAUAUGCUUUUACAGCCUUUUCCUCAAACACCCAAGUCAACACCUGUAGCUUGUCCUCUCAGGCGUUGUUGAGGUUGGUGAUGCUCUGGGGGUGGUGCUGCUGCCA
This is a long non-coding RNA of Prinia subflava (tawny-flanked prinia), 10474 nucleotides long. RefSeq lists it as uncharacterized. NCBI's taxonomy places the organism in Eukaryota, Metazoa, Chordata, Aves, Passeriformes, Cisticolidae. The record is from RefSeq and is a predicted model, not a curated record. The transcript has 3 exons.